AAGUCGUAACAAGGUCUCCGUUGGCGAACCAGCGGAGGGGAUCAUUUACCGAGUUUACAACUCCCAAACCCCAUGUGAACAUACCUACAAGUUGCUUCGGCGGAGCCGCCCCGGCGCCCGGAACGUCUGUUUCGCGGCCCGGAACCAGGUGCCCGCCGGAGACCACAAAACUCUUUUUGAUUUUACAGUAUCUUCUGAGUGUGCCGCAAGGCAACAACAAAUGAAUCAAA
RNAcentral lists this unclassified non-coding RNA (230 nucleotides) under plant metagenome. Its description in RNAcentral is "partial contains small subunit ribosomal RNA and internal transcribed spacer 1". The record is from RNAcentral.